This 579-nucleotide ribosomal RNA is filed under the name uncultured bacterium. RNAcentral's name for it is "bacterial SSU rRNA". It matches the Rfam family "Bacterial small subunit ribosomal RNA", at positions 337 to 916 of the family's 1533-position model. The record is from RNAcentral.
CCUACCGGGGAGCAGCAGUGAGGAAUAUUGGACAAUGGRGGCAASYCUGAUCCAGCCAUGCCGCGUGCAGGAUGACGGCCCUAUGGGUUGUAAACUGCUUUUAUAYAGGAAGAAACCUUUUCACGUGUGAAAACCUGACGGUACUAUAAGAAUAAGGACCGGCUAACUCCGUGCCAGCAGCCGCGGUAAUACGGAGGAUCCGAGCGUUAUCCGGAAUCAUUGGGUUUAAAGGGUCCGUAGGCGGGAAUCUAAGUCAGAGGUGAAAUCUUGCAGCUCAACUGUAAAAUUGCCAUUGAUACUGGAUUUCUUGAAUUAUUGUGAAGUGGUUAGAAUGUGUAGUGUAGCGGUGAAAUGCAUAGAUAUUACACAGAAUACCAAUUGCGAAGGCAGAUCACUAACACUAUAUUGACGCUGAGGGACGAAAGCGUGGGGAGCGAACAGGAUUAGAUACCCUGGUAGUCCACGCCGUAAACGAUGGAUACUAGCUGUUCGAACUUCGGACUGAGUGGCUAAGCGAAAGUGAUAAGUAUCCCACCUGGGGAGUACGUUCGCAAGAAUGAAACUCAAAKGAAUUGACGG